GCCGGCAAAGCAUCGCGGGCUCUAAGCAUAACUCCCUUUACCAUUUCUGGCAAAGGUUCACAUUUAUCCCACAAACACCGGAGUACAAAGGGACAGUAUGAAUAAUAAAAUUAGCAUAUAUUGGAAGCACAUGCAGAACAAUGAAAUGUACAUAUGCCUUUCGAGUCAAUACGAUACAAACAUAAUCUUUCACAAUGUAUUCAGAUUUGAAA
This 212-nucleotide long non-coding RNA is filed under the name Musa acuminata (dwarf banana). RNAcentral's name for it is "long non-coding RNA (MACU_LNC011446)". The record is from RNAcentral. Lineage: Eukaryota; Viridiplantae; Streptophyta; Magnoliopsida; Zingiberales; Musaceae.